This 435-nucleotide long non-coding RNA is filed under the name Salmo salar (Atlantic salmon). Its description in RNAcentral is "lncRNA (ENSSSAG00000114197.1)". The record is from RNAcentral. Lineage: Eukaryota; Metazoa; Chordata; Actinopteri; Salmoniformes; Salmonidae.
UCACUCACUCACUCACUCACUCACUCACUCACUCACUCACUCUCUCCUCCGUACUAAAGGAUAUGGCUGUCUUUCUCUCUUUAUCUUCUUCCAGAGGGGUCAUCUCAACUUCUCGCCCUUCGGUGCGGGGGCUGCACUCUAAGGCAUGGCGGGCGCGGGAGCACCCCUCACAUUAGGGACGGGAUAGAAAAACAGAGUGAUAAAUCAAAGACUGCACAGUGGAAACAGAUGAACCCGUGCUACACUCCUAACCUCGACUGAAAUGAUACAUACUUGUCUGAGACAACACCUGCAGCUGUCUAGUACGGUCUGAGAGAGAGAGGGAGAGAGAGAGAGAGAGAGAGAGAGAAGAGAAGAGAAGAGAGAUGUGUGUUUGAUGUGGUUGAUGCCAUUCCAUUGACUCCAUUCCAGCCAUUAUUAUGAGCCAUCCUCCCC